Molecule: non-coding RNA, 278 nt
Organism: Nicotiana tabacum (common tobacco)
Lineage: Eukaryota; Viridiplantae; Streptophyta; Magnoliopsida; Solanales; Solanaceae
Source: RefSeq, a predicted model, not a curated record
AUUGACAACAAGGUUUAACACAACCAUACAGAUUAAUCCACCUUAUCUACAAUGUCUGCAACUACGUAAAUGGAUCAUAGAAAAUAAAGAAAUGCUUGCUUCUUUCAUUCUGAAGAGCACAUCUGCAUCCAGAUCUCUAAUCUUUGUUCCAGUGGAUGAAGAAAUAGUGCCAAUUGCAAAUGUUCAAUCACAGCAGGACGCCAGUAUAAUUUUUAUUUACAUAUUUCAUAAUUUGAUUUAAGUAUUUGUCCUUAUAACAAUUACUCUCACUUUUCUAA